CUGAGGAAAAUCCAUCCAGGAAGUGCUUUUAUUUUGAAAUGCCUGUUUUUCCAUACAAAGACUUAUGACGCAGUUCACGAUCCCUAUGGCUUCCACUACAUGUGGCCAGUCUUUAGGCAAUGUUUCAGGCUUUUACUCUGAAAAAUAAGGGAGAAAACCCACUUUCAAUGAGAGGACAGUGGAAAUUUCCAGACACGAGUCCAGCGUGUGACUGGGAGCGCACCUUUCUUGUUUGUCCUUUUCUACUGAUGAAGCUAUUGUCCGGUUUAAAUUUGAUCGAUUAUUUAUGACAAAAACAACCUGAGGAUUGAUUAUAAACAGCGUUUGACAUGUUUCUACGAACUUUUAUGGUACUUUUUUGAUUUUUCGUCUGUCUGUUGUGACCACGUUUUGUUCCAAUGGAUUACUGAACAAAACGCACGAACAAACGGAGGUUUUAGAAUAUAAAGAGGGACUUGAUUGAACAAAACGAACAUUUAUUGGGUAACUGGGAGUUUUGUGAGUGUAACCAUAUGAAGAUCAUCAAGGUCGUUACAGAAUCCCCCACCAACAACGGACCAAGCAGCGGAGGAAGGAGCAGCGCCAGGAGGAGCAAGAAUCCUGGACCAGGGAGAGAAAAGACUGGACAUGGGAGGACAUCCUGGAAGGCAAGGGAUCCUACACUUGGGAGGAGAUCCUGGUCGGAAGGGAUCGCCUCACAUGGGAACAGGUAGAGGCACUCAGAAGAGUGGAGGCAGCAGGAAAAAAGGACCAAAUGUAUGAGGGAACACGGCUGGGUAGGAAGCCCGAGAGGCACACGGGGAGUGUGGCAGAGUCAGGUUGGAGACCUGAGCCAGCUCCCCGUGCUUACAGGAGGCAGCGCAGUACUGGUCAGACACCGUGUUAUGCGGUAAAGCGCACGGUGUCCCCAGUACGCGUGCAGAGCCCGGUGCGCUACAUCCCAGCUCCUAACAUCUGCCGGGGGAGGUUGGGCAUCGAGCCAGGGCAGGUUGUGCAGGCCGUGCGCUCUAGACCUCCAGUGCGUCUUCUGGACCCGGUCCGUCCUGUGCCUCCUCCUAGGACUAGGCCUCCAGUGGGUCUCCCUAUCCUGGUCUGUCCUGUG
RNAcentral lists this long non-coding RNA (1102 nucleotides) under Salmo salar (Atlantic salmon). Its description in RNAcentral is "lncRNA (ENSSSAG00000106873.1, ENSSSAG00020021340.1, ENSSSAG00075018390.1)". Lineage: Eukaryota; Metazoa; Chordata; Actinopteri; Salmoniformes; Salmonidae. The record is from RNAcentral.